GCAGCUUGAGGAAGUCCUUCCCUGACUUUCUUCCUUUUUUACCACCAUGAGCAGAGAGCGGAGCUGCACCUCGUUACCUCUGCAAACUAAGACGCUUGUAUCAUGUACAGACUGCGUUACAAAGGUAGGCAAUUGUUGUAGAACUUAACAUUCUUCAACAGCUAUUUUUAGUAGUAUUUCGAGGACAUUUUUAGGCGAAUUAGCUCUAGCUGCGUGACACGUUGGCUUCAUGUUAGCUAGCGGCUAGCGCUAGCUCAUACCCUCACCACGUGGGAGUAAGCUUUUUGGUUUGGCACUGUAUCUGGAUUAUACUGACUCUUAGUCCACUGUAAUUUAAAUAUUAACUGUUUCAUGCACAUUCAGAGUUAUAGUUUUGGGUAAAAUGUGUUCUUCUCGUGUGAUCACGAAAGCUCAUCAUCGAAAACACGUGUAGGUUAGGGCUGGGCGAUAUGGACCAAAAGUCAUAUUCCCAUAUACUGAGGCUGAAUAUCGAUAUGAUAUAUUUCCCGAUAUUGUUAUUGCAAAGUGAGAGCAGAUGUUUAGUCACAAUCAAGGCAAAUAUGAGAUGUCACAAGUAGUUCUAUUUAAACUGGCCAGAUGAAAUUAUGUUCAGCUGUUCAACGGACAAUAAAGUGGAAACAUAACUACUGUAUAACCACAGGAGUCCCUAUUUUUCUUUUAAAUUGUCACUCUAUAAGGUACACAUUUAAAUGAAAAAUAUGUCUUAAAUAAAAAUAGCCCCUAAAGUAAAAUAAGCCGAUCUUUUUCUGAAAUAAAUUUAUUUAUAUGAGAAAAGCAUCAACAUUUUGACAACUAUAAAUGACCUAUUAAAGUCAAAUAGCAGAUUUUUAUCUUCUCUCUAACAAAUCCACAGAUGCAAACGACGAAAACUACAAAAGAAUUAAAUAUGACAAAACCUAGUAAGGGCAGCACUUGUAUGUAUAAAGACAGAACAAAAUGAAGUGCUCAGUUUUAAGAAAAUUGUUCUGAAACAUCAUUUUGAGAUUACCUAUCUUUCUUUCUUAUUUUCUUUACAGUCUCAACCAGCUGCACAAGACUGACAGAUUAUGAACUCAAACAUUUCCCCCUCUCUCUUUUUUUACUUUGAUAAACAGUUUGUGCUGUCUUGAGGCAGACAUUAGAGGACAGACAAGUGUGUCCUUCUUUGUUUAAAGAUUUUGUGCGAGAAACACCAACCUGUCAACAACAGCAUCUGAUAUCUGUAUAUCAAUAUAUGUGAAAUGGUCCAAUUCCACAUCUCAUUUAAAAAUAUAUCGAUAUAUCGCCUAGUCCUAGUGUAGGUUGUGGUGUAAAUGCAAAUCAGGGAUCAGCAUAUACUUUACUAUUCCCACAAAAGUCAUACAGGGAAGUUAUGCGGCACAUUCAAUCACCACUAUGCAAAUAUCUGGUAAAAUGAUCGCCAUUACUAAUCGAUAUGUCUCUUUCUUUAACAACGGACUUGUCUCAUCCUUUAACUAAUGCAAUAAAUCAUUUCCAGGACAGUUCAAAGAAAGAAAAAGCACCCCAUGUGUCAGUCAUAUUCAUGCAACUCUGUCCAUAUCUGGUUCAGUUCAGGGGUCAUCGGAAAAUCUGCUGGUCAGGGAAUAACCGCCUCCUAUUACUCAAGUAGAGAAAGUCCUCAGUCCUCCUCUGAGGGCCUGAGGUCAUGGCAGAGGUCGUGACCUGCUGUUGAACCCGUCCUCAAACCUGCAGUGUUAGCCAUGCUCCCAAGCUGUGUUACACUGCACCCUUUGACCUCAAGGUGAUCAGUCAUCUUUGGUCAUCAUAUUGGCUUUUCUUGAGUACGUCUUAUUAACACAAGUUGGGAAUCAAUAGAUCACUCCAGAGUGCAAUUAGCUGUGUGGAUUGGCAAAGUUAGUGUUCAGAUCCCAUGGGAAACCAUAGCAAUUGAAGGUGAUCACUUUCUCAAAACCUGAAUCCUGCUUAAACUAAUUUUGCUAUUAAACAUUUUUGUUUUAAUAGAUAUGCAGACGAAGAAGACAAACCUGAACCAUAAUGGGAUCCCCUGACGAGGUAUGAGUCAGUUCAAAUAAAAAAAAAAGUUAUGAAUGAACUUGAAAGAUUGUGGGGGAAAAAAAAUACAUUUUCCUUUUUUAAUUUCAGAUGUCAGGAUACCACUGUAUUCUACAGAUGGACAGUGUUGAUCUUCUCAGUGUGGACAUGAAGGUAAGCCUCAUCUGUUCAGCUGUUUUUGGUUGUGAUUUUGACAUGAGGCUGUCCUUAGCUGGAAUAGUGAUGAUUCUACAUUUUUGCCGUUUACCCAUCAGACUAUAAGAUGGUGACACUGUGACUAACUGAAAAACCAGCACAAUAAGAUCAGCCUGAACUAGUUAUUAAAUAUAGAAAAUCAGUCAUUCUGUAAAUGAUUAAAAUUAAUGUCAAUUGUUAUUUCUUGUUUACCCUCCCUGGCUCCAGAUGUCGAGCAGUGGUCACAGAUGAUGCACAGGGUGUACAGCGAUGUCUCAUGUUUAGUGCAAGGUGAGUUCCUUACUCUACUGUUUAGAAAUGCCAUGUUUUUUGUUUUUUUUUUCUGUGUAAAUAACAUUUUCAUAUCAACGUUUUAAAGUGAAAGUAGAUGAGAACAACAGAAAAUAACACAAUUCAGUUGAAAAAGAAAGCAUUUACUGUGGUAGUUUAACUGAAGACCAAAAAAAAAAGUUUUGGUGCUGGAAUAAGGAUGAUUUCACCUUCUUUUCGCCGUUUACCCAUCAGACAACAGGGUGGUGAGACUGUGAUUUUCUGAAUUACCAGCUGCAACUUUGCCUUAACUCUUAUCUGUAUCAUACCAUUUAGGAAUAUUAUUUUAACUCAAGUUGAACAACAAUUGUUGUCUGUAGGUGGGAAAUGUUAACUUGAUGCAUGGAAAUGGACUAACUCUGAGGUCUUCCAUAUCCUUAACAGGAGAGCAUUAAAAGCAGCAAUGGGACAGAAACAGACUGUAUUUGCUUCAUGUAACCAGUGGUAAGUCAGCCACAUGUUUUAUUAGUUUUCCUAAGAUUUUUUUUUUAAUGCCUUGAUCAAAGAAGUAAUGAUGAGUUCACUUUUCGCCGUUUACCCAUCAGACCAAAAUGGGCUGCUGAGAAUGUGACCAACUGAACCCAGAAAGAUUUAAUUUUUUUAACAAACAAUGCUCAUCAGCAAUUUGACACUCAAAUUGAUUUUUUUUUUUUUUUUUAAAUAAUUUUCAAGGCUACAGAAGAUUGACUGCUGAGGAGACAAAUGACUAAAUGAAAGGUAAGUGCCCAAAAUAUUUUUGGCCAUCAUUCUAUUAAGCACAUCUAGAAAAUUAAUUUUUUGUUGUUGUUGUUUGUUGUCCUAAUUGUUCUUGUUUUUCACAUUUGUUACAGUGGAGUUGAAGCUGGUGGAUCAACAUUCAGAGGAUCUGAAGAUGUUCCUUUUUAAGAUCGCUUCAAUCACCAUUAAAAUAUGUUUUAUGAACUUUACCAGCACAUCUGUGUGUUUCUGAUGUUGAAUUUUCUAAGAUCAAACAACACCGCAUUAAAUGAAAUUAAGGGUGAUUUUAAAAAAACUUUUUGAUUAGUUUUCAGCCAAACCGAGAAAUAAAGCAAUACUUCAGUGACAAAUUGA
RNAcentral lists this long non-coding RNA (3609 nucleotides) under Xyrichtys novacula (pearly razorfish). The record is from RNAcentral. Lineage: Eukaryota; Metazoa; Chordata; Actinopteri; Labriformes; Labridae.